GAGGAGUCGAGAGAAAUAGUGAGCGUUGAGCGAGUUCACGGACUCAAGUCGUCUCCGCUUGUUAUCGAUCACCUCGUAGAUCUGGGACAAAUUAACGGAGUCUUGAAACGAAAACAAAACAACAUUGUCACACAAGUCGGAUCUAAAUACCGAAUGACAGCAACAUAGCUAGGAAGAGCAGGCAAGGGGUGAGAAUGAAAGAGACCGCAGGUUCAACAGUGGCGAGAGGUCAGUGUCCUAGCGUAAGAUGUCAACUGCACUACAGCAACGAUGCACCAAAACAACAACAACGAUAACAUAAGCAGAACAACAGCAUGUUCAACGGCACAAGAAGAACAGCAAUGAGAAUACAAAAACACAAACAGCUAAAA
Molecule: long non-coding RNA, 371 nt
Organism: Nematostella vectensis (starlet sea anemone)
Lineage: Eukaryota; Metazoa; Cnidaria; Anthozoa; Actiniaria; Edwardsiidae
Exons: 2
Source: RefSeq, a predicted model, not a curated record